GACGAACGCUGGCGGCGUGCCUAAUACAUGCAAGUAGAACGCUGAAGCGAGGAGCUUGCUCUUCUUGGAUGAGUUGCGAACGGGUGAGUAACGCGUAGGUAACCUGCCUUGUAGCGGGGGAUAACUAUUGGAAACGAUAGCUAAUACCGCAUAACAAUGGAUGACACAUGUCAUUUAUUUGAAAGGGGCAAUUGCUCCACUACAAGAUGGACCUGCGUUGUAUUAGCUAGUAGGUGAGGUAACGGCUCACCUAGGCGACGAUACAUAGCCGACCUGAGAGGGUGAGCGGCCACACUGGGACUGAGACACGGCCCAGACUCCUACGGGAGGCAGCAGUAGGGAAUCUUCGGCAAUGGGGGCAACCCUGACCGAGCAACGCCGCGUGAGUGAAGAAGGUUUUCGGAUCGUAAAGCUCUGUUGUAAGUCAAGAACGAGUGUGAGAGUGGAAAGUUCACACUGUGACGGUAGCUUACCAGAAAGGGACGGCUAACUACGUG
RNAcentral lists this ribosomal RNA (497 nucleotides) under uncultured bacterium. Its description in RNAcentral is "partial 16S ribosomal RNA". It matches the Rfam family "Bacterial small subunit ribosomal RNA", at positions 28 to 507 of the family's 1533-position model. The record is from RNAcentral.